CACAACAGCAAUAAUCAAUCUUCAUGUGCUCUAAGACCACAACCCUUAGGCUUCGUUUGGUUCGGGUAUAAGCAAGAACUAGUUAUACUGGGGAUAAGUACAAGUAUGGAUUUUCGUAGGAACAAGAGUAUUUUUUUGUUUGGAUGAAAAUGUGAGUAUAAGCUGGAACUAGAAAAAUUAUGUUUGGAUGAAAAUGUGAGUAUAAGGUGAAAUAGUUGGUAGUUAUAAAUAUAAAAUAAUGAUAUUAUCCCUAUAAUUGAAUUUAAAUUUUUAAACUUAUAAUCUUAAAUUGAAAAUUUUAACUUUUAAAUUUUAAAUUUUAAAUUUUGAAAUUAAAUUUAAAAUUGUAAUUUUUAAAAUUUUAAUUUUAAAUUUAAGACUAAAUUUAAAUUUGAAAGAUAUAAAAUAUCAAAUUUAAAAUUACUAAACUAAAAAUAUCAUAUUUAAAAUUUAAAAUUUAAAAUUUAAAAAUAUCAAAUUUAAAAUUUAAAUUAUAAAAUUUAUAAUUUAAAAUUAAAAAUUUAAAUUUUAAAAUUAUAAAUUAUAAAUUUUAAAAAUUUAAAUUUAAAAUAAAAAUCUCUCUCUCUCCUCUCUCUCUCUCUCUCUCUCUC
RNAcentral lists this long non-coding RNA (611 nucleotides) under Ananas comosus (pineapple). RNAcentral's name for it is "long non-coding RNA (ACOM_LNC012431)". The record is from RNAcentral. Lineage: Eukaryota; Viridiplantae; Streptophyta; Magnoliopsida; Poales; Bromeliaceae.